UCAAAUUCGACUUGAAAUUAAUUUCGAGCCUAAAUUUAAGCUCAAGCUUGGUUUGAAAUUAAUUCGAGCCGAGCUUGAGCGAGCCUAAUUUCGAGUCGAGCGAGCUCGAGCCCUAAACGAGCCGCUUGAAAUUCUCAACAUCAUACGAUCAAUAGUUUAAUUUGUAUAGAACAUUAUCUAUAAUUUAAUACAAAAAUAUGUCUAAUAGUUCAAAGUACCAAAUAAUUAUAUGAAAUAUGGUAUUAUAAUAUAAAAAAUAAUAAUUUAUGAGUUGAAUAUCUAAUCUUUUCAGCCUCACAUGUCUUCUCUUCCGCCUUCAAUCUCCAUAUUAUUUAUUUUUAUUUAUGCGGUCAAAAAUAAAUAUUGGAUUAAGCUAUCCAAUCAUAUAUAACUAAAAUUAAAAUUUUAUAUAAAUAAUAAUUUUUUACUUUAAAAAUAUUCUGUAUAUUUUCUCAAGCAUACAAUUAAUAGUAAGGUAGGCAAUGAUGGACAUAUGCUGUUGCUUGGUAACUUGGAGAGCUUCCGGCUUAGCCACUAAAGGUGAGAGACAGAGAAAAAGAGAAAGAGAGAAACAUAUCGAAAAUUUAGAGCUCCGUGAAAGAAAGAAAGAAAGAAAGAGAAGAAGUAUAAAUUUAGUGAAAUUUUGCUCUUUAUUUAUUUGUCUAUUGGGUUUGUUUUUAUGGACCGACAACAUUGGCCAAAUUUUAACUAAACUCAGCUUAUUCGCUCAGCCUAUAUAUAAUUAAAAUAUAUUAUAUUUAUAUAUUUUUAAUAUAUAUAUAUAUAUAUAUAUAUAUAUAUAUAUAUAUAUAUAUAGAGCAGGGCUGCUGUGCUCUCAGGAGCACGUUGGCCUCCGUGCUCCUGAGCCGUUUUCGAUGAUGGAGUUUCCGAAUCGACGAUCGGCUCCAUUCAACUUGAUCUAGCAUAUUUGAAGUUUCUAGAAAAUAAUUUUUACGAUUUUUUGAUAUCAUUUACCUAGCAAUCGAAAGAAUUCAAAAUCAAUAAUUUUUAACGGCUGAAAAUAAAAAUUUUAUAAAAAGUGUUGAUAUAGCACUAAAAUUUUCGAUCAGAAAUAUUGAUCUUGUUAUAGAUAGUAUAAAAAAUUUUGUAUCAAAAUUUCAUCUGAUUUGAAUACUUCUACAUCGUUAAACUUGAAAACAGUAGAUAUUAACCAUUAAAAAUUAUGGAUUUUGAAUCCUUUCGAUCACUAGGUAAAUGAUAUCAAAAAAUCGCAAAAAUUAUUUUCUAGAAACUUCAAAUGCGCUA
Molecule: long non-coding RNA, 1266 nt
Filed under: Ananas comosus (pineapple)
Lineage: Eukaryota; Viridiplantae; Streptophyta; Magnoliopsida; Poales; Bromeliaceae
Description: long non-coding RNA (ACOM_LNC011857)
Source: RNAcentral